UGUGAUUUCUACGGGCGUUUAGUAGUAUCUGACGACGGCGUGUUACCGUAAUCACAAAUACUGCGAAAACUACGUAAAACGGUGGCGCCAUCAUCAUGCCCCGGCCAAAAACUUCAAUGCGGAGGCAAGGCCAAGCCAAGUACGGGUCAUUGCCGUCAUUCACAACAGCCGGACGCCGAACAUCGUGCGCGGACGAUCGUUGAGGAAGAAGAACGAAGUGGUCGUUGUAAAUCUCGUGAAUGCACGUAGCCAGGUAAGCACAUUUCUGUUCGCACAUCCUGUUCUUUGCGAUUUGAGCGUGGUGCACCGUAUGCCUUGUUUUUGUUGAACUUAUGGGACACCAGUAAAUCGUGGCGUUUGCUGUGAGGCUUCUCCCUAGUUUCAGAUCUCCGUGUGUCAUGCGUCCUGGCUCGUAGGGUGAUCAAGGCGCUCUUAUUGUAAUGUAUCGUUGCGGAAGGUGCCCUUGUGUUUUUAACACUCUGAUGGGCUACGUUGACCACUGUAGACAUGUACAUGAAGCGAGCAGAAUACCGUGUUGUCAUGCAUUAUGUGUGUACACGGCGGCGAACUAUGCAACACUCAGAUGUCACAUUUUGGGACGUUACAAGAACACAUCAGGACGGUCGCCUCGAAUCGAUUUGCUCUCCAAAACCACGAAAGUAUGUCACGUCCAUUCGUGCUCGCGUCAGUUCACUACGAAUAUAGAGAUAGUGUCACAUAUGAAGCAGCACAUACGAAAGGGUCAUGAUCAGAUGUCCUUAUGAACGCUGCCAGAAGAAGUUCCGUGCCGUCUCCGCGUUUUGUGUGCACCUUCAUAUGUUCUUCCAUUGAAAAAAUAAAACUGUGAGUAUAAUCUCCUUUCUCUUUGCAGUGUUUUGAUGCCAGAGCUGACUGAUGGGUGCACAUGGCUCCUUCGAAUGUUCUUCAUUUGAAAAAAUAAACAUGUUUUGAUGCCAGAGCUGACUGAUGGGUGCACAUGGUUCCUUCGAAUGUUCUUCCUUUGAAAAAAUAAACGUGUUUUGAUGCCAGAGCUGACUGAUGGGUGCACAUGGUUCCUUCGAAUGUUCUUCCUUUGAAAAAAUAAACGGGUUUUGAUGCCAGAGCUGACUGAUGGGUGCACAUGGUUCCUUCGAAUGUUCUUCCUUUGAAAAAAUAAACGUGUCUUGAUGCCAGAGCUGACUGAUGGGUGCACAUGGUUCCUUCGAAUGUUCUUCCUUUGAAAAAAUAAACGGGUUUUGAUGCCAGAGCUGACUGAUGGGUGCACAUGGCUCCUUCGAAUGUUCUUCCUUUGAAAAAAUAAACAGUGAG
Ornithodoros turicata is the source of this 1308-nucleotide long non-coding RNA. RefSeq lists it as uncharacterized. NCBI's taxonomy places the organism in Eukaryota, Metazoa, Arthropoda, Arachnida, Ixodida, Argasidae. The transcript is spliced from 6 exons. The record is from RefSeq and is a predicted model, not a curated record.